AUAAGCUUUUAGCGUUUUUAUUGUUAAUAAAAAGAAGAUUUUAAAGAAAGUUAA
Molecule: transfer RNA, 54 nt
Filed under: Oxytate striatipes
Lineage: Eukaryota; Metazoa; Arthropoda; Arachnida; Araneae; Thomisidae
Description: tRNA-Asn
Source: RNAcentral